GAUAGGGUUACAUCCCUUAUUUCAAAGCAUGUUGGAGUCAUCAUCAUCCGGCAAGACCAGCCAUGUCGAAGCUCAGGUGUUCGCCAAAUUGAUGGGCUCGGAGCGUUAUGGUCGACUGAGGGGUUAUGGCGUUGGAGUUACUCCCACUCAAUUGUCUGCAGUGAACAGAUAUACCCAAAAAGUCAGACAAAGUAGCAGCACUACAGAGAUUUGUAGUCUAUUUGUAGUCUGAAGGCAGCGAUGGAGAAGAUGAGGUAGAGCUAUUAGACUGAGAUGGAGAAGAUGAGGUAGAGCUAUCAAAUAGAGAUACAAUCUUUGAGGGCUCAGCUUGACCAGAUUGCAUCUAUGUUGCAUAGGUUCAUGAUACUUUCUUUACUCGUAGGGAUAAUAAUGAUGGUAAUGCCAUCGACCCCUAAUAGCUCUUAGACUAUUUAUUUAAGAGUUUUAUAUGUAUAUUUUUUAUAUUUUUUGAAGCACAUUGUAAAUGUAAAUGGAUAAUAUAAAUGUAAUCAUAUUUGACAAUAUGAAUAUUUCGAAC
Phoenix dactylifera (date palm) is the source of this 538-nucleotide non-coding RNA. Lineage: Eukaryota; Viridiplantae; Streptophyta; Magnoliopsida; Arecales; Arecaceae. The record is from RefSeq and is a predicted model, not a curated record.